UACGUAGGGGGCAAGCGUUGUUCGGAAUUACUGGGCGUAAAGGGCGCGUAGGCGGCACGGCAAGUCAGGAGUGAAAGCCCUGGGCUCAACCCGGGAACUGCUUUUGAAACUGCCGAGCUAGAGUGCGGAAGGGGCAACUGGAAUUCCCAGUGUAGCGGUGAAAUGCGUAGAUAUUGGGAAGAACACCUGAGGCGAAGGCGGGUUGCUGGGCCGACACUGACGCUGAUGCGCGAUAGCCAGGGGAGCGAACGGG
RNAcentral lists this ribosomal RNA (253 nucleotides) under uncultured bacterium. Its description in RNAcentral is "partial 16S ribosomal RNA". It matches the Rfam family "Bacterial small subunit ribosomal RNA", at positions 524 to 776 of the family's 1533-position model. The record is from RNAcentral.